AUGCCGGACUCCGACAACGACUCCGGCGGGCCGAGCAACGCGGACUUCUCGUCGCCCAAGGAGCAGGACAGGUUCCUGCCGAUCGCCAACGUGAGCCGGAUCAUGAAGAAGGCGCUGCCGGCCAACGCCAAGAUCUCCAAGGACGCCAAGGAGACGGUGCAGGAGUGCGUGUCCGAGUUCAUCUCCUUCAUCACCGGCGAGGCCUCCGACAAGUGCCAGCGCGAGAAGCGCAAGACCAUCAACGGCGACGACCUGCUCUGGGCCAUGACCACGCUCGGCUUCGAGGACUACAUGGAGCCGCUCAAGCUCUACCUCCACAAGUUCCGCGAGCUCGAGGGCGAGAAGGCCGUCGGCGCCGGCGGCGUUGGCGCGUUACCCUCCCCCGGCGGCUCAGGCUCGCAGCAGAGGGAGUCGACGCCAAGGAACAAUGGCGGAGGCGGUGAGGCCGGCGGCUACGGCGGCAUGUACGGUGGCGCCGGGGCAGGAGGAGGCGGCGGCGGCAUGUUCAUGAUGAUGGGGCAGCCCAUGUACGGGUCCCCGCCGGCGGCAGGGUACCAACAUCCGCAGCAUCACCACCAGAUGAUGACGGGCGGGCAAGGCGGGUACGGCUACGGCGACGCCGGCGCCGGCGGCGGGUCUUCGUCGUCCUCAGGGUUCGGCAGGCAAGACAGGGCAUGA
RNAcentral lists this ribosomal RNA (678 nucleotides) under Triticum aestivum (bread wheat). RNAcentral describes it as "partial small subunit ribosomal RNA". The record is from RNAcentral. Lineage: Eukaryota; Viridiplantae; Streptophyta; Magnoliopsida; Poales; Poaceae.